This is a non-coding RNA of Microcebus murinus (gray mouse lemur), 487 nucleotides long. The record is from RefSeq and is a predicted model, not a curated record. NCBI's taxonomy places the organism in Eukaryota, Metazoa, Chordata, Mammalia, Primates, Cheirogaleidae.
UGUUUUGAGCAUUCUCUUAUUUGUCUUCUCUCUGUUUCCCUCAUAACAUUUGCUGGAAGAAGCCAGCUGCUAUGAAGGCCUGUGGAGAGACCCAUGUGAUAAGGAACUUAAUCCUGUUACCAGGCACCACCUGAGCAAGGUUGGAAGCCAACAUUGCAGCCCUGCAGCUGACAGCUUGACUACAACCUCAUGGUCGACCCUGAGCCAGAACUGCUAAGCUGCUCCAGAAUUCUUGACACAAAGAAACUAGGAGUGCGUCUCCCCAAAACAUUAUGAAGAUUUAAAAAUGAUCCACCUGUUGUCCUAUCACAUAUUUCCCAGUUUGUUAUAUUACUUCAUUGCAAAUCUCAGCAGCAAAAGACCCCACUGGCAACAUGGCCAGAGACCUGCUGGGUGGUGAAUACCUGGAGGGAAAUCAUGCAUAGAAGCAAGGAGACAAGGCACAAACUUGAAUUAUAGAAAAUUGUCACCGUAUAAAUCAGCAAGC